GACGAACGCUGGCGGCGUGCCUAAUACAUGCAAGUUGAGCGCUGAAGGUUGGUACUUGUACCAACUGGAUGAGCAGCGAACGGGUGAGUAACGCGUGGGGAAUCUGCCUUUGAGCGGGGGACAACAUUUGGAAACGAAUGCUAAUACCGCAUAAAAACUUUAAACACAAGUUUUAAGUUUGAAAGAUGCAAUUGCAUCACUCAAAGAUGAUCCCGCGUUGUAUUAGCUAGUUGGUGAGGUAAAGGCUCACCAAGGCGAUGAUACAUAGCCGACCUGAGAGGGUGAUCGGCCACAUUGGGACUGAGACACGGCCCAAACUCCUACGGGAGGCAGUAGUAGGGAAUCUUCGGCAAUGGACGAAAGUCUGACCGAGCAACGCCGCGUGAGUGAAGAAGGUUUUCGGAUCGUAAAACUCUGUUGGUAGAGAAGAACGUUGGUGAGAGUGGAAAGCUCAUCAAGUGACGGUAACUACCCAGAAGGGGACGGCUAACUACGUG
RNAcentral lists this ribosomal RNA (497 nucleotides) under uncultured bacterium. RNAcentral's name for it is "partial 16S ribosomal RNA". It matches the Rfam family "Bacterial small subunit ribosomal RNA", at positions 28 to 507 of the family's 1533-position model. The record is from RNAcentral.